RNAcentral lists this long non-coding RNA (430 nucleotides) under Olea europaea subsp. europaea. The record is from RNAcentral. Lineage: Eukaryota; Viridiplantae; Streptophyta; Magnoliopsida; Lamiales; Oleaceae.
UCCAUUAAUUUUUGCCUCUGAAGCAAUGUAAACUCUAAAAUUUGCCACCAUUUGAGAAAUGCCCUCCAGUUCAGGACAGGACAUCUGAGCUUUAAAAGCUUAAUUCCUUGCACCAACAAAAUUUCUCUCUGCAAACUUCUUCUCAGCAUUUGCUUUAAACCUGAGCGCUUCCUCUAAGUUUGAUUCCAUCUCAAAUAUCUGAAAUCAAACCCAAAUUCUUGAAUGCACACUACAAGCAGCAUACAAUGGGUAACUGUUCGAGUCCAAUACUCAAAAUAACCAUGGUAACACAGUUUGCUCAUUUUCAAAUAAAAAAAUUAAUCAUCUUUCCUGGACUUUACGCAAUCUACAAUUAAUACUGUCAUUACACAACUAAUUCAAUUUCACAACCUAAGUGAUUAUAUCCACAUCAAAUCAAUUGAUUUUCAAU